ACUUCAACAACUCAUAUCUCUCAAUUGGACUAUUCAAACAUACUCAAAUAUUAUAUAAAGUAUUGAUGUACUUCUAAAAACUACCACAACAAAUUUCAACUACAAAUUCAUCAUGGAUCUUAAGAUAUUACCAAAACCCUAACAGUAGCUUCAAAACCUUAAUUUUUAUAUACUUGCAUAUAAUUUUCUUUAUAUCUCAUAAACUAAGUACUCAAAUACCAAAUUUUUUAUAUAUAUAGCUUUUUAAUACAUUAUUCCAUCUUUUUUAAAAUAUUUGAGCUAAAAAUUCAUUCGACAACUUAAGAUAUGGCUCUAAUCAUUACUUUGAAUAAAAUCACUUACUUAUUGCCUUUAAUUUAAAUGUAUUGACUUCAACUCUCUAUAACUUCUUCAUCUAGACUUUAAAUAUAAUAAUUUCUUCAUAAAAGAUGUAAGUCAUGAAAUUGCCGUUCUAAUUGCACCUUUUAAUCUCAAAAAACUAUUGUAAAAUUCCUCGUAUGCUCAAAAGAACAAUAGUAUGUCUUAAAAUGAUAUCUUUACUUCAAAUAGCUAUAAUUUCUUCAACUUAACUCCAAACUCACUAAUUUUUAUAUCCAAAUUAUAAUCCAAAUCCUAAAACUUAUAAUUCUAGCUUUUGAUUCUCAAAUGUUCUUUUGAGGUCACUACAAAAUCUUCUCAUGGUUGCAGACUAUCUCCUAAAAGCCUAUUGGGCAUAGCCUUCGAUCAAUAGGGAUGAAGAUCUUCAUCUGUUAUCUUCAUCCAUCCAUACUUUACCUUCGUCCCUCCAAAUAAGCUUCUUAAUAGUUUGAGUCUUCAACUUUGAGCUCCAAUCUUCUCUUAUAACUUUAUUCUAAAUAUCUAAAUCUUAUAUAAUUUAAACACUAUAAUAAAUAUAAAUAAACCUCAAAAUAAUUUUUUCACAUCAAAAAGUAUGUGACUACAAAAAGUCCAAGUCAUGACCUCAUUUUGAUUAUGGGUAUUCAUUUAGAACUUCAUCUCUUAGUCCAUCUUAGACUCAUGAGCUUUACUGAAACAUAUUAGCAAAUAAAGAAGGAAAUGAAGGGUGGACAGAGCCUGCUUAUGAAUCCAAAUUCAAAGAAAGCAUUAGGGGUCAACUAUACUGAAGAGAGUACAAUUUUAUACGUCACCAAAUUAAUGGAGUGGCUAAGUUCAAUGUACAUUAAGUCAAAAUCCAAACAUAAGAGAGUCAAAAAAUCAAUCAUAACUUUAUAAUUCUAAAUUCUAAAUCUUCAACUUUUAAUUCCUAAAUCUUAAAUCCUAAAUUUUUAGCCUUUGAUUUUAAGCUCUAAAUAUAAAUUCUAAAUCCUAAAUAUUUAAUCCUAAAAUUCUAAAUUCUAAAUUCUAAAUCUGAUGUAAUUUUUUAUAAUAGAAUUUAAAAAUCAAUAAAGUAAUUUUUACAAAAAUCUUCAAAUUUUAUUUUAAUAAUUACUAAUGAAUUAAAAAUAUAUUUCUAAAUAUUUUUUAAAUUGCAAAAAUAAAUCAAGAAUAUUCUAUUAUCUUUAUUUUAUAUUAUAUAACAAAAAAAUUAAUUUAAAAAAUCUUAAUCCUAAAUUAUACAUAAAUUAUCAAAAAAUCAUAAUUUUAUUUUUUAUGAUUUUUUUAACUAUUAAUUUAAAUAAAAAUAUUUUUAUAAAUAAUAUGUAUAUAAGAUAAUUUUUAGUUAUUUUAUUAAAAAUAGAUAAGAACUAUAAAAAAGAAAAAAUAUAGAUAUUUGAAUAGAAGCUCACAAAUAGCUUUUGUUAGUAUUGAUAAAGUCAAAAAAAUCUUCAUUAUUCUUUAUAAAUAUUUAUUAUUUAUAGAUGCAUAUUAAAAAGUAAUGUAAUAAAAUACCUCUUAGAUUAAAACUACAAAUAAAUACUACAUUAUAAGAUUUUAUCUAUGAUUUUAUUAUAAAUUUUUGUAUAAUCAACUAUCUAUCUAAUACUUUGGAACAAUGACUGUAUAGUGGAUUGGACAAUAUUUUUAUUAAUAUAAAUGGACAAUAUUUUUAUUAAUAUAAAUGGACAAUAUUUUUAUUAAUAUAAAUGGACAAUAUUUUUAUUAAUAUAAAUAAUAUAAAAUUGGUAAAUAUUUUUACCAACUACAAGGACUUAUACAAGUAGCAAAAAAAUUAUUGAAUGUUAUUUUUUCUACUAAUUUGACUUAUAUUGUAUUAGAUUCAAAUACAUGGAGGAAAAUUGCCAAAUAGAAAAAUUAAGAUAAAUAGAAGUAAUUACCAAUUAUUUUAGUCUAAUAAGUUGUUUCAAUAAUUUUUAAUUUAUGACUGAUACUAAUUGGUAUUAACUACAAUUAGUAUAACCACACUUGCCAAAUUUUUGUCUUAGAUUAGAUUUAAUACAAUUGUUGUUUAUGACUAAUUUAAAUAAAACUAUCUUCUUGUUAUUUUUUUAUGAACUUCUUUUAAAUUAACAAAAAGUCUAAUUAAAAAGAUUAUAAACUUUGAAUCUAAUAUAAAUUAGUGUGAUUUUUCUUCUAAUAGUUAUUAUUAAUCUAAAAGAUUUUUAAUGGUAAUAAAAUUAAAUAAAAAGUAAGCAAUCCACUUCAAUCACAAAUCCAAUUAUCUUCUAACUACAGCAAUGUCAAUUUGCAGUAAUAUAUUAAUUAAAUCUAAUUUAAUAAAAAACAAAGACUUCAUCAUGUUGUUAAUACUUAUUAGCUCUAUUUUGGGACCUUAACAACAUCAAAACACCAAUUAGGUAAUUACCUAUCUUUCAUUUGGCAAUACAAUUCUCUCCAAUUUAUGCUCUUUGUAGACUGCUUGAAAUGAUUUACUUCCUUUUUGGUAUAACCAUGCACCCUCA
RNAcentral lists this long non-coding RNA (2822 nucleotides) under Physcomitrium patens. Its description in RNAcentral is "long non-coding RNA (PPAT_LNC009972)". Lineage: Eukaryota; Viridiplantae; Streptophyta; Bryopsida; Funariales; Funariaceae. The record is from RNAcentral.